RNAcentral lists this ribosomal RNA (274 nucleotides) under uncultured bacterium. RNAcentral describes it as "partial 16S ribosomal RNA". It matches the Rfam family "Bacterial small subunit ribosomal RNA", at positions 523 to 796 of the family's 1533-position model. The record is from RNAcentral.
AUACGGAGGGUGCAAGCGUUAAUCGGAAUUACUGGGCGUAAAGCGCGCGUAGGCGGCUUGUUAAGUCAGAUGUGAAAGCCCUGGGCUCAACCUGGGAACUGCAUUUGAAACUGGCUAGCUAGAGUUUGGUAGAGGGUAGUGGAAUUCCGGGUGUAGCGGUGAAAUGCGUAGAUAUCCGGAGGAACACCAGUGGCGAAGGCGGCUACCUGGACCAGAACUGACGCUGAGGUGCGAAAGCGUGGGGAGCAAACAGGAUUAGAAACCCCAGUAGUCC